Momordica charantia (bitter melon) is the source of this 1518-nucleotide long non-coding RNA. RefSeq lists it as uncharacterized. The record is from RefSeq and is a predicted model, not a curated record. NCBI's taxonomy places the organism in Eukaryota, Viridiplantae, Streptophyta, Magnoliopsida, Cucurbitales, Cucurbitaceae.
UUGGAAAAAAAAAAGCCCUAAAAACUUCUCUCUCUUCGUUUCCUCCUAGCCUCCCAUCCCUUAUCUUCGUGAAAACCAGGCGCACCAGCCCUCCCCCUGCGUCGUCUCCGGCAACUCCUAAUCGGCGAACGAUGGCGCACGAACCCAGUAGCGUGCUUCCUCGGCUUUCUUCUUCGGCGGCAUCUGUGCCCAGCAGCGGUUUGACAAUUACCGACCAACAGCGGAUACUGUGGCGGUGAGAACCCGGAAGGCGUCCUCCUUUGCAGGUAACGGCGAAACAGGCCCGUGACCACAACGCCAAGUUCGGUUCUGCAGCAGUCCGGCCAGAUCUGAGAGUUCCGAUCUUCUGUACCCACUCUCACAUUUGCGUCAAUCGAUUCCAAAUCUGUGUAUCGAACACUUUUGCCACAGUUCAAACAAAGACCCCCAAUUAAUUCGAUAAAGGUAAGUAGGUAACAACCUUCUCGUUCCCUUUUCCGAUUAAUUUUCAGUGGUCGAAACUUGAGUUAUAACGUUCUGAAUUUUCUUUUUCUUGUCUAGUAAUUGAUCCAAAUUAAGGGCUUGGAGCGUGUUGUAAGUAAAAGUAGAUUGGGGCGUGUGUGCGUGCAAUUUUUCGUGUAUAUCUCUUAUAUUUAUGGUUAUUGGACCUAGUUUGAGAAUUUUUAUUUGAUGUGACUUGAUAUAGUUUACUUGUGGAUGGUUGAAAGCAUGUUCUGAAGUUUGGAUGAAUGUGUGGUUUGUUAACCAUAUGCUUGCUGGAGACCAGGAACGGGACGUCUAGGUGCAUUCUACUUCUUCCAGCUUGUGCAUCACACUCAAUUGAACGUGAUGUACAUUUCAAACUCUUGUAUUUUCACUUCUAUUAUAAUUCAUAUUUGUCUUCUUUGUUUUCUUUUCGCGCUCAAGUUUGUAUAGUGAAAGAAAGUAGGGCCUUACAUCUUGUUAUCAAAUAUUUAUGCAUCUCGAUGAUUUUUUAGAGGAUAUAGGCCAUUAAACACUGAUCUGGAAAAAAAAUAGAAGAAGGUACACACUUCACAGAUGGUCAUGGUAGAAGGAAGGGAAGAGAUGAGACGAGGGCUAUGUGUGAGUUGGUGUAGGAUUUAGGCUUUUGGGUAAUUAGGUGAAUGUUUGGGGUACGUAAAUUUACUUAUAAUUUUUUCCUCCCCAUACUUGUAGUGAUGGAAACAGUGGAAAACCUUCUAAUGGAAUAAAAAAUAACCAUCUCUUUCCCAUGUCUUGUUGGAGUUAUUUGUUUGUUCUUCUUUGAUUAAAUUUGUGUUGCAGUUUUCAUCACAGUAGACGGUGGCCCAUCUCACAUAUCUCUAUCUCCAUUCAAGACAUGCCACGCCACACCCACAAUUCAUUAAAUUAAGGAUAAGCAUCACUUGUUUUUUGGUUUGAAUUAUAUAUACUGGUAUGUUUAUGGUAAUUAUUAUUUUGUAAAUUUUAUACUUAUUAAUUGCCACCAAAGAAAUAUCAAGGAAAUUUAUAUCUCAGCGACAUGGUUAGGAAUUCUUA